AUAUCAAUAAGCGGAGGAAAAGAAACCAACAGGGAUUGCCCUAGUAACGGCGAGUGAAGCGGCAACAGCUCAAAUUUGAAAUCUGGCCCUCGGGUCCGAGUUGUAAUUUGUAGAGGAUGCUUUUGGUGCAGUGCCUUCCGAGUUCCUUGGAACAGGACGCCUUAGAGGGUGAGAGCCCCGUACGGUUGGACACUAAGCCUCUGUAAAGCUCCUUCGACGAGUCGAGUAGUUUGGGAAUGCUGCUCUAAAUGGGAGGUAAAUUUCUUCUAAAGCUAAAUACCGGCCAGAGACCGAUAGCGCACAAGUAGAGUGAUCGAAAGAUGAAAAGUACUUUGAAAAGAGGGUUAAAUAGCACGUGAAAUUGUUGAAAGGGAAGCGUUUAUGACCAGACCUUUGCCGGGCGGAUCAUCCGGUGUUCUUCACCGGUGCACUUCGCCCGGCUUAGGCCAGCAUCGAUUUCUGUAGGGGGACAAAGGCCAUGGGAACGUAGCUCUCUUCGGGGAGUGUUAUAGCCCUAGGUGUAAUACCUUUACGGGGAUCGAGGUUCGCGCUUCUGCAAGGAUGCUGGCGUAAUGGUCAUCAACGA
This 586-nucleotide ribosomal RNA is filed under the name Diatrype whitmanensis. Its description in RNAcentral is "eukaryotic LSU rRNA". It matches the Rfam family "Eukaryotic large subunit ribosomal RNA", at positions 40 to 647 of the family's 3401-position model. The record is from RNAcentral. Lineage: Eukaryota; Fungi; Ascomycota; Sordariomycetes; Xylariales; Diatrypaceae.